UCGCGAGGAGAGGGACAGCACAGUGGGGAGGUAUUGCACACAUGGCCGAAAGCUGAUGCAGCGACGUUCGCUGAAGGGAAUGGAGGCCUCCGGAUGUGAAACCUUCUGUUACCCGUAAUGAAGACCCCGCCCCUGGUGGUGGGGUGACGUAGCCGGGUAUGAAGCGCCGGCUAACUACGUGCCAGCAGCGCGGUAAUACGUAGGGCGCGAGCGUGUCCCGGAAAUAUUGGGCGUAAAGGGCUUGUAGGCGGCCCGGCCGCGUCCGUCGUGAAAUCCUCCGGCUCAACCGGGGGCUUGCGGUGGGUACGGGUCGGCUGGAGUGCGGCAGGGGAGGCUGGAACUCCUGGUGUAGCGGUGGAAUGCGCAGAUAUCAGGAGGAACACCGGUGGGCGAAGGCGGGUCUCUGGGCCG
RNAcentral lists this ribosomal RNA (411 nucleotides) under uncultured bacterium. RNAcentral describes it as "bacterial SSU rRNA". It matches the Rfam family "Bacterial small subunit ribosomal RNA", at positions 335 to 736 of the family's 1533-position model. The record is from RNAcentral.